Molecule: long non-coding RNA, 772 nt
Organism: Odocoileus virginianus texanus
Lineage: Eukaryota; Metazoa; Chordata; Mammalia; Artiodactyla; Cervidae
Source: RefSeq, a predicted model, not a curated record
UCCCUGGCCAGCCACGCUCACGGCCUCUGCCCUCCCGGAGCUGAACAUUCUGUGGGGACGAGAGCCAUAAACAUAAAACUGGCCAAUGAAUAGAAUUUGUGAUUGUUUUCAUAGCCAAAUGGGAGAAGAAAAAUACACCAAAGUGGCCAGUCGCCUAUUAGCCCUGAUUUAUAUUCUACUUUAACAUCUCAUCCAAGGAAAUGAAAGGUAUGUGCUCAUCAAAUAUAAUCAUGUAGAGCUUUGAAAGGGGAAGAGAAACGGCUCUGUGACAACUCCCCAGGCCUGCAGAGAACAGCAGGAGACGUGUCACGAUCAAGCCAGCUAGCUCCUCCGGCAGCCACCCCGGGGACAGGCGGCCAGCCGUGGUUUUUCCCUUGUCAGCUAUUCUCCAGGCGGAGGUACGCUGCCACAGUGUGGUCCAUGCAAGGGACAGACACAGAGCAACACCCGGACGGCAGGUACGGAUGCCACAGCAUCGCAGGCCAACCUGGGCCGGGCUUGCGAGGAGCCCUCCGGCAAACCCUUUGAGGAAGGAGGACGCAGAGGAGCUUUCCGGAGUCCAGGCCAGCAUGACAGAUUGAAAGCAGCAGCAGCCAUGAGAAAACCCAGCUGUUGUCUAUUAAGCCAGAUAUUAAAGAGACUUGCAAAAAUAUAAUAUUCACUUUUGUUUUGUUUUGUAAAACAGACUUAUGGUUCAUAAAGAACUAUGUUAUUUACUACUUUACAUAGGACGGGUUAUUGUUAUUUUUUAAACAAAUACAUUUUUAAAGUA